RNAcentral lists this long non-coding RNA (4203 nucleotides) under Olea europaea (common olive). RNAcentral's name for it is "long non-coding RNA (OEUR_LNC005693)". Lineage: Eukaryota; Viridiplantae; Streptophyta; Magnoliopsida; Lamiales; Oleaceae. The record is from RNAcentral.
ACGUGUACUCCCAACCGAAGGUCACGAUUCAACUUGUACUACUAUAAGUACUCCUUCAUGUACCUCGUGUAAAGACUAAUGCAAGAUUCAAUACAAGAAUAAUUACUACAUAUUUCACUCUCUAGCAAUGCAUACGAGUUUACAUACAUAUUCACCAACCGCGAUUGGUAAUUAGUGUACAAUCGUUGUAUAAAUGUCUCGUCGAAUUCCAAACGUUGUUGUCCCCUGCCUUUGAGUCGCUCUCACGCCCUUUAUCAAAUCUAAUCAGAUCGUCCACCUGUCUUAGCGUGUUGGACUAGACUUGCGUGAGCGCGGGUGGGUCUGAUAUCCGUUGUCCAACCGGAAAUUAUUUUUAAGUUUUUCUUCAUGGUUCUUGGACAAUGCUAAAAAAAUUCAAUAUACAAUGUUAACAUAAAUUUUAUAAUUAUUUCGUAAUUACAAAAAAAAAUUAAAUGUACAAUGUGUACAUAAAUAUUUCACAAUAUUUAUAAUUAUUUCAUAAAUAAAAAAAUGUAUGCGUACAAUAUUUACGAAUUACGAUUAAAAUCAUAUACAGGGGCCAGAAGAAGAAUUAGCAUAGAUUAUUAGCGUGCUUAUCAUCCAACUGCUCCAAUACGGUACUGAAAAGUUUCUGUUCAAAGAAGCUUUUCAAACCAUCCGUCUCAACUCCAUGACUAGAUGGUUAUCCAUUUUGCAAAAAUUUGAAUGUCAGAAUACUGUACAAAAAAAAAUGGAAUAAAGCAUAACAACGAAAAAUUGAGUGAAUUGAAUUAUAACUAUUGUACACAAGACUUAGAAUCAUUUUACAUCGAUGCUAAUAAAAAAAAUGAAUUAUCAAUUACACCGAUGAUAAUUAUCAAUUUAAAAUUCUUUAUUAAAUUAUAUAUAAAAAAUUUAAAAAUGGAAAUUAUUAAAAUUAAAUAAAGAAUAUAAAUAUUAUUUAAUUAAAAUUGAAAAAUUGAAGAUUUCUUUAGAAAGAAAUAUUUAAGUAAAUAAUUUUAAAAAAAAAAUAAAGAAAAAAAUAUUUGCUAAUUUGGUUAAAAGGAAUAUUUAAUUUUGGUAAUUAUCAAUUUAAAAUUCUUAAUUAGAUUUUAUAUAUAAAAACUUUAGAGAAAUGAAAUUAUAAAUAUUAGUAAACAAUAUAUAAAUAUUAUUCAGUUAAAAUUAAAAAAAAUAUAAGAUUUCUUUAAUUUUGGUAAUUUAAUAAAAGGAAUAUUGAAUUUUGGUUAAAAAAAUAAAAGGAAAAAAAAAUAUUUGGCUAACUUGCUUAAAAGGAAUAUUUAAUUUUUUUAAAUAUCAAUUCAAAAUUCUUCUUAAACAAAUAUUAAAUUUAUCAAUUUUAAAUAGAUAAUUACCAAAAUUAAAUAUUCCUUUUAACCAAAUAAGCAAAAUACAUUUUUUCCUUUUACUUUUUUUUUACCAAAAUUAAAUAUUCCUUUUAUUAAAUUACCAAAAUUAAAGAAAUUUUCAAUUUUUGCAAUUUUGAUUGAAUAAUAUUUAUAUUCUUUAUCUAAUUUUUAUAAUUUCAUUUUCUUUAAAUUUUUUUAUAAAUAAUCUAAUUAGGAAUUUUAAAUUGACAAUUACCAAAAUUAAAUAUUCCUUUUAACCAAAAUAUUUUCUUUUUACCAAAACUAAAUAUUCCUUUUAUUAAAUUACCAAAAUUAAAGAAUUCUUCAAUUUUUUCUUUUUUAAUUGAAUAACAUUUAUACCCUUUAUUUAAUUUUUAUAAUUUGAUUUUCUUUAGAUUUUUAAUAUAUGUAAUCUAAUUAAGAAUUUUAAAUUGAUAAUUAUGAAAUUAAAUAUUUCUUUUAACGAAAUUGACAAUAUAUUUUGUUCCUUUCAUUUUUUUAACCAAAAUUAAAUAUUCCUUUGAUGAAAUUGCCAAAAUUAAAAUACACUUCAAUUUUUUCAAUUUUAAUUGAAUAAUUUUUAUACAUAAUUUUUUUUGAUAAUUAUCAAUUUAAAAUUCUUAAUUAGAUUAUAUAUAAAAAAAAUUAAAGAAAAUGAAAUUAUAAAAAUUAGAUAAAGAAUAUAAAUAUUAUUCAAUUAAAAUUGAAGAUUUCUUUAAUUUUGGUAAUUUAAUAAAAGGAAUAUUUACUUUUGGUAAAAAAGUAAAAGAAAAAAAAUAUUUUGCUUAUUUGGUUAAAAUGAGCAUUUAAUUUUGGUAAUUAUCAAUUUAAAAUUGAUAAAUUUAAUAUUUGUUUAAAAAGAAUUUUGAAUUGAAUUGAAUAUUAAACAUGCAAAAAAGGGAAAAAUUUAGUUUAAAAGAACAUACAAAAAUAAAGGGAAAAAAUAAUUCUGGUUAAAAAAUUAAUUAAAAAAGAAAUUUUUUUCAUAUUAUCAAAAAUUAAAAUUAAAAGCAAAAAAAUAUUUAAAUUAAAUAAAGAUUAAAGAAUAUAGAUAUUAUUUAAUUAAAAUUGAAACAACAUACAAAAAUAAAAGGGAAAAAAUAAUUUAGGUUAAGAAAUAUUUAAUUUGUUAAUUAUUUAUUUAAUUUUUUUUAUUUUAAAAGUUGAAUUAAUAUUUCUUAAUUUAAAAAUGUUAACCAAAAAAAUAUAAUGUAUAUAUAAAGCAUAACAAAAAAAUAAUUAUAAAAACAUAAAAUACAUUAAACAAAACAAAAGCGAAAACUUAAAUAAAGAAUAAAAAUAUUAUUUAAAUUUGAAGAUAUUAAAAAAAGGAAAAAGAAAAAAGAAAGAAAGAAAGAAAGAAAGCGUGCACUAACAAUCAUCCCACUGACUUUUAACAGCCAGCCCACUGAUUGUUUAACAGUCGGCUGACUGUUAAUAGCCGACUGUUAAACAGUCAGUCGACUAUUUUCAACUGUUAAACAAUCGGUCGACUGUUAGGCUGGUUGUUUAAUAGUCGGCCCUUUUUCUCAUCGAAAAUUUUUCUCAUCGAAAAUCACCAUUUUCGACGAGAAAAACUCCCAUCCACAAAAACAUCUAAAUCUACCCUAGUAAUCAACCAUCUAUCCUAAAUAACCAACAAUAAAUUGAGAAAUGUUAAUUUUAAUAUUCACACCAUUAUAUUAAUAAUCAAAAUCAUUAUCUAAUUUACAGAACAACUGAAAACACAAGAAGAAGAAGUUCAGCAGAGACGGGUUGUUGGUGAUGGUGUUGAUUGGUGACCGAUCUCCGAUCGACUGGAUCCGACUAUGGUGAGUGUUUUUGUUUACGUGUUACAUCACUGUUUGGCACAAGAAAACAAAUGGAAAGUGAAGGAGCAGGAUCGGUAUUUUUGAGUUUUGAUCUUUAAAUUCAAUUAUUCAUUUUUAAUUUAUUAUUUUUUUUUAAUAAAAACAGUCAAAGGCCAAAGUGGAAAUAUGGUCAGGUCAACCGGCCAUUUCCACUUAUUUCCUCUGUCUAAAACGGAUACUGGCUUGAACUACUUAUACACACAAUGGAUAAUUGGAAAAACAACCUUGAUUAAGGAGCGUAAAUUGACGAUAAUGUUUUCCAAGACGAGAAAAUAUAAUUUCCAAAGAAUGUUUUGGGCUCUUUGCAGAUUUCAUUGGCAAAAAAAUAUGUUAACGCUUUACAUGAAAUUCAGAACCCCCCAAUCCCACUCCCACAUGCACCUCAUUUGCCUGAAAUAAAAUCAAAAAUUCUUAAUUUACUAUCUUGUGCAUCUACUCCUAUGCGACUCAUAUUCAUUGAGAGAACUAAAAUAAUACCAAAUUUUGAUAUUCAGAGAUAAUCCGACAAUCCAACCAUGUCCGAAAAGUAAAAGCAAGAAGCUUUCGUCACUGAAAAAUGAAAGAAAACAAAUGCUGAAGAACUUACAGACUGAAAAAAAAAAUGCUAAUGGAAUUUUUUUGGAUCGAAUUCCUAAAAGCCUGAAGCAAAUUUGGAUUCCCCCCAUCCCUAUACGUUACUUCAAAGUGCGAAGCCAUGGACAACUUUGAUGGGUAUAAUUUUUUUCGCUAGUUGAAGCAACAGUUGGAUAUAUACAAAUGUUGAAGAUUGUUCUAAAGUAAUGGUACGUUUCUGAACUAAUCAAUCUUCUCCACCAACUUUAGGCCAUAAGCCUCGACAGUGGAGCAAUAACGGCAAAAAAACGAAAUAGAGAAAAAAAUAAAAAAAUAGGUCAGUUACCUCUUGUGCAAAAACGAAUAUGGUUUUGCUCCUUUAUAAUCAACAAAAAGGAAAGCCCGAGAGAAGAGCAGGAAGAUUUGUGGCAGAGAGAUUUAACGGGCACGGC